This 73-nucleotide transfer RNA is filed under the name Allium guttatum. RNAcentral describes it as "tRNA-Glu". Lineage: Eukaryota; Viridiplantae; Streptophyta; Magnoliopsida; Asparagales; Amaryllidaceae. The record is from RNAcentral.
CAUUGUUUAGCGGGUCAGGACAUUUUUUUUUCAAGGAGGCAGCGGGGGUUUGGAUUCCCCUGGGGGUAGGGGA